RNAcentral lists this ribosomal RNA (772 nucleotides) under uncultured archaeon. RNAcentral's name for it is "bacterial SSU rRNA". It matches the Rfam family "Archaeal small subunit ribosomal RNA", at positions 13 to 762 of the family's 1478-position model. The record is from RNAcentral.
CCUGCCGGACCCCACUGCUAUCGGGAUAGGACUAAGACAUGCUAGUUGAGCGCUUCCAGCCAAUACGGGAGCGCAGCGCACAGCUCAGUAACACGUGGCUAAUCUGCCCUUGGGACCGGAACACCCCCGGGAAACUGGGGCUAAUUCUCGAUAGGUGAAGAACUCUGGAAUGAGUCUUUGCCAAAAAGACGUUUACGUUAUGCUCGUAGGCGUCGCCCAAGGAUGAGGCCGCGACCGAUCAGGUUGUUGGUGAGGUAAUGGCUCACCAAGCCUUUUACCGGUGCGGGCCGUGAGAGCGGGAGCCCGGAGAUGGGCACUGAGACAAGGGCCCAGGCCCUACGGGGCGCAGCAGUCGCGAAAACUUUGCAAUACACGAAAGUGUGACAGGGCUAUCCCGAGUGCCAUCCGCUGAGGAAGGCUUUUACCCAGUCUAGAACGCUGGGGGAAUAAGGAGAGGGCAAGUCUGGUGUCAGCCGCCGCGGUAAUACCAGCUCUCCGAGUGGUGUGGAUGUUUAUUGGGCCUAAAGCAUCCGUAGCUGGCUGAGUUAGUCCCUUGUUAAAUCCACCAAAUUAAUCGUUGGAUUGCGGGGGAUACUGCUCGGCUAGGGGACGAGAGAGGCAGACGGUAUUUCUGGGGUAGGGGUGAAAUCCUAUAAUCCCAGGAGGACCACCAGUGGCGAAAGCUGUCUGCUAGAACGCGCCCGACGGUGAGGGAUGAAAGCUGGGGAGCGAACCGGAUUAGAUACCCGGGUAGUCCCAGCUGUAAACGAUG